RNAcentral lists this ribosomal RNA (426 nucleotides) under uncultured Chlamydiae bacterium. RNAcentral's name for it is "bacterial SSU rRNA". It matches the Rfam family "Bacterial small subunit ribosomal RNA", at positions 958 to 1385 of the family's 1533-position model. Lineage: Bacteria; Pseudomonadati; Chlamydiota; Chlamydiia. The record is from RNAcentral.
AACGCGAAGAACCUUACCCAGGCUUGACAUGCAGAAGACAACACCAGAGAUGGUGUGUUCCUUCGGGACUUCUGCACAGGUGCUGCAUGGCUGUCGUCAGCUCGUGCCGUGAGGUGUUGGGUUAAGUCCCGCAACGAGCGCAACCCUUAUCGUUAGUUGCCAACAUUUCGGAUGGGAACUCUAACGAGACUGCCUGGGUUAACCAGGAGGAAGGUGAGGAUGACGUCAAGUCCGCAUGGCCCUUAUGUCUGGGGCUACACACGUGCUACAAUGGCCGGUACAGAAGGCAGCGAAUCCGCAAGGUAGAGCAAAUCCAGAAAGCCGGUCCCAGUUCGGAUUGUAGUCUGCAACUCGACUACAUGAAGUUGGAAUUGCUAGUAAUGGCGUAUCAGCAACAACGCCGUGAAUACGUUCCCGGGCCUUGUA